AUGGUUGAACUCAACGAGGAGUGUAUUGCUCACUUAAAGUUCCUCUUGUUAUGCUUUGAAGCUUUGACCGGGCUCAAGAUCAACUUUGCCAAAAGUGAAGUUAUUAUCACAGGGGUGUCGGAUGCCGAGGCUCUUAGGGUCUCCCAACUCUUAAACUGUUCUCUUGGCUCUUUCCCUUUCAAUUAUCUUGGUCUCCCUAUUUCCUCCGACAAAUUGUUGGCGAGAGAUUUUGCCCCGGUUGUCACGAAGGUGGGUAAUCGGGUUAUGCCUUGGAGGGGCAGGUACAACACUCAAGCGGGCAAGGUUGCCCUUAUCAACGCUUGCCUCUCCUCCCUCCCCAUGUUCCUGAUGGGUUUCUAUCUACUCUCUAGAGGGACUCACACGAGUUUUGACAAGCAUAGGGGUGCCUUCUAUUGGAAUUUGGCUGAUAACAAGCGCAAGUAUGGGAGGGUGAAGUGGAAACUUAUUUGUAGACCCAAGAGCCUUGGGGGGCUGGGCAUCAUUGAUACAUCGAUUAUGAACAAGUGCCUUAUCAUCAAGUGGUGGUGGAAAAUAAUGAACACCUCGAAGUACCCCUUGUGGCUUAGUAUUCUCAAAGCUAAAUAUUUCCCUGUGUCUAGCCCAUGUCUGCUCCUUCGGCGGGUGUUUCUCAAUUUUGGAAAGAUCUCGUCAAAGUGCGCCCGAUGUUUCAAUCCUUGGUUAAAUUUGUGGUCCGUAAUGGCAAAUCUAUCCGAUUUUGGUUGGACUGGUGGUAUGGGGAGUCUACUCUUGCGGUGA
RNAcentral lists this ribosomal RNA (777 nucleotides) under Triticum aestivum (bread wheat). Its description in RNAcentral is "partial small subunit ribosomal RNA". The record is from RNAcentral. Lineage: Eukaryota; Viridiplantae; Streptophyta; Magnoliopsida; Poales; Poaceae.